Molecule: non-coding RNA, 4085 nt
Organism: Callithrix jacchus (white-tufted-ear marmoset)
Lineage: Eukaryota; Metazoa; Chordata; Mammalia; Primates; Cebidae
Source: RefSeq, a predicted model, not a curated record
UAUCCACUCAGGAGUGUAAUGGAACAGAAGGAGUUAAUUACGUUUUCAAGUCAUGGACAGACUCUAUAUCUUCAUUUUCUUAUCAUUGGGAGCAUUCUGAGCUCAGAAUUUUCCCAAUGCAAAAAAAAAAAAAAAGGCUCUGAAGAGCCGGACCUGGGAACCUGGCCAGUUUCCUGAUCCAAUUUUUGGUAAACACCUCAAGGAUGUUAAUUACAUGAUGAAGACGUGGACAGUGUCCUGACUUGACCCUUCUUUGUUUUAAAAAGUAUAAAAGAUUGUUUAGCAGAAGCCGAACUGAGCUACGGUGGUGACUUGGUCUGGACUUGCGAAAACCUGUGCUGCUUUACUCCCAGUGUUGAAGUUAGUGAGCGUCUCUAGACGCUCACGUGCCUACUGACUCUAUUGAACGUAUUUACAAUAAGAAGACUGACCAAUUAACUAAAAUUAGCUCUAAUACUUACACUGAAGAUCAUCCCAAGUGCGCAAAAUGGGUGCAAGAACACACUGGACACGCAGGAGCCAAAACUAUGUACAGGUGGGCGCAACAGAGAGGCAUAUACCUGCCAUUAGAUGUAUGUAAAACCAUCACAACACAGUGUCCAGUUUGUAACCAAGAACAGUUGCAAAAUGUCCCCCGUAUCGUCACAGGAGAAUUAACUCGAGGAAAACAAGCGGCACAAAUUUGGCAAAUAGAUUACAUAGGGCCGCUCCCCAUUUCUAAAAGGUGCGCUUACAUAUGCACUAUUGUAGAUACUUAUUCUGGUGUGCUUAUUAGAUGUCCCUAUAAACGGGCCACACAACAAAAUACUCUAAAAACCUUAGAUUAUAUUAUUUUAUAUUAUGGAGUGCCAUUACAAAUACAAAGCGACAACGGAUCUCAUUUUAAAGGUAAGUUAAUUACUGAUUUCUGUGCUCAAUAUAAUAUAGAAUGGAUUUAUCAUAUACCCUAUUACCCACAAGCAGCAGGCCUCAUUGAAAGGAUGAAUAGGUUAUUAAAAGAAAAACUACGGAAAUUAACCAAUCCAAUGUAUUCAGGAUGGAAAACCUUUUUAUUACCAGCCUUACAACAACUUAAUAAUAGACCCCUAACUAGUGGCCAAACCCCGUUGCAACGGAUGAUAUAUUCCUCUAAUACAGUUGAGAUCAGCUCCCAAAUAACACAUGAGCCUAUAACUAUCUCCUGGUAGAGAUUCCACCCAGAUGCAAUACAACCUGGGAAUGCUACUAGUACUGCUGCAGGUUAUGAUUUAUUUAACUACUCUGUAACUAAAUUAAAUAGCAAAACUCAACAUGUAAUACCCACUGGCAUAGGUUUACAGUUACCUUCAGGAUAUCAUGGACAAAUAGCUGCUCGAUCUAGUCUAGCACAAAAAGGAAUGACAAUCUUAAAGGGAAUAAUUGAUGCAGAUUAUUACGGUGAAAUCGAAGUGCUUUGUUAUAACCUUGGUGAAGAAGAUAUCAUCUUGCCUAAAGGCCACUGAAUAGCACAACUAUUAAUAAUUCCAGUUUUACAAAACACAGUAUGGGAAUCACAAAGGUUCCCUCCAAAAUCAGCUCAUUUAGGAUUUGGCAGUACUGAUGAAAAGAAACAAAUAUCAGGUCAUGUUUGGGUACAAACAUCUCCCCAUAAACCAUUACAAGCUGGAGAGAUAGUAGCACAAGAAGAAAUACCUGUGUAUAUGUCCUAAUUUCCCCCGCUGAUACUCCUAUAUUAGUACCUACUAAUCAUCUGUUUCAUCGUGUAUAGAUUUGUGUAUUUACAGGUAUUAUUGUCAGCACUCACGUCUGGAUUGCUUGGACCAUUUCCCCCAGACAAAUCUUGUCUCACCAAACUACUUCCAGCAAUGGACACAUGAUUCUACAGUAGGGAUGGGUCAACUCCACAAAAGUAAGAAGUCAAGACUCUUACAACUGUUCUGCUAAUCAAGUUUGUCACCAUACCAAUCUUACUAUUAGUGGAGAUACCAACACUACACUUACCUAUUGGAUGGGACAGAAACCUGCUCGAGGCAUAAUUUAUAGUGAUAAUAGUAUUACUAUUAAUGCCACUUCUAAAGUGAAUAUUUCCUGUUGUCAACAAGAUUUAACUACUAUUCUAUAUACUAACAUGUUUUCAAAAGCUAUUUAGAGAAACCAAUUGUCUUGUAAUGAAACCACUACAGUAUUUGCAUUUAAUACUAGUACAUAUCUAUGGUGUAUUAAUUCUAGUGCAAUCAACAAUAGAAAUAUAUGGGCACAACAUUUACAUGUAAUAAUUCAUAAAACCCCGACAUACAGUCAACCUACUAUUGUACAUAUACCUCAUGCUUGUACUAACACCACCUUUUUUGCACAGCAGUAUCAAUUACAAUUAAAUGUAACUUUCCCAAAAUUACAUCCCUGUGCUAGACGAAAACGGGAAUGGUAUAAUACAUUACUUGGCAGAGUAAGAACAGGUAUUAGACUUGCUAAAAGCUUUAAUUUAAAUAGCUUAUCAUACAAAUUAAAAAAAAUACUAGGAAAAAUGCCGAAUUAGCUACUAGCCUUACUGCUAAUUGGAUCCCUACUGUAAUAAGCCCAUUAACCUCUAAUCUUGCUUAUCAAAAGACAUUCUUAGAGAUAUUUAAUCGAACUAUAGUAUCUACUACUACUAAUAUUACUUACCUAUUUACUUCGAAUGUUCUCUUCAAUACUUAUUUAGUUACAUACAAAUACAAAAUCUACAACAGGAGUUACCAUUAAGAAAAGUACACUGGUCUGAAUUUUUAAUACUUUCCAAACAACGCCAUGCAGAUAUAUGGGUAGAAGAUCAUAAUCCCUUUUAUUGUACCACCACAUAUUGUUAUAAUAUAAUAACCUAUCAUAUACCCCAAAAUACUACUAUGCUAUGUCCCUAUCAUGUGCUGCCAAUUCCAUACCCUUAUUAUUAUUUGCAACCAGAAUUUUAUGGUACCCACAUUGACAAUAGAAAUAUAACAUAUAAAAUCAAUGAUUGUGCUGUAACUACAAAAGGAUUAGUAUGCACUGAUUUACAACAACAGAUGGAGCCAUGUCGAUUGCAUUUUUCUGUUAAUCAUUGUAUUUUUACCUUAUUACAAGUGAUUACACUGCCCUUUUUAAAGUCCAACCCAUACAUUAUGUAUUGUAUCCAAUCGAUCUGAAGUAUUGUCAUAUAUGCAAGUUGAUUUUCCAUUUGUUAGAUGCAUUUAUAAUAUCUCUAUCUUUCCCUGGCAUAAUUCUACUAUUUAUUUAACCCCAAUCAUUGACUAUGAAAAUAUCACUUUCACCCCAAUAAGCCUGCCCCAACAAAAGUUAGAAACCUAUUUAAAUCUAACUUCUAUAUUAUAUAAAAAUAAAGCUUUAAAUCGGACAUUACAGAACUGAAAUCGACAAUUAAGUGAAUAUAAACUACAAACCACCAUAGUAAGUCAUAAACUGCAGAACUAUUCCCAUGCUAUAGUGACAGAUAGUAAUUCUAACUAGUAGGAUUAGUUAUUUACAUACUCAUCAGUGACAUAUAGAUUCGUCCCACUGUUCAUGACUGUAUUCAUUUUAAUGAUUAUUACUAUAUGUAGUUGUUACUGUUCUUUGUACUUAUAUCAACGCAUUAAGAAUUUAAUGAUGCAUUUACUUACAACUAUUAUGUGUACAAUAAGUCCGCCCAUACCUAAGGCCGAAUUGUAAUAGAACAGAAGGAGUUAAUUACGUUUUCAAGUCAUGGACAGACUCUAUAUCUUCAUUUCCUUAUCAUUGGGAGCAUUCUGAGCUCAGAAUUUUCCCAAUGCAAAAAAAAAAAAAAAAGGCUCUGAAGAGCCGGACCUGGGAACCUGGCCAGUUCCCUGAUCUAAUUUUUAGUAAACACCUCAAGGAUGUUAAUUACCUGAAGAAGACGUGGACAGUGUCCUGACUUGACCCUUCUUUGUUUCAAAAAGUAUAAAAGAUUGUUUAGCAGAAGCCAAACUGAGCUUCGGUGGUGACUUGGUCUGGACUUGCGAAAACCCGUGCUGUUUUACUGCCGGUGUUGAAGUUAGUGAGCGUCUCUAGGUAUCCUUGUAAAUAAACUCUUUUUCUUUCCUUGUAAAUAAACUCAAUUUCUUUUCUCUAUA